AGCCCACUAUGUCCACUCAACCCUAAUCAGAUAGGCUCCAUUCAUUUUCUUUUUCCCAAAACUAAAUAGUAUUGCAAAAUACAAAAUGUUACGAAAUGGAGUGUUCUCCCAAAUUGAUGACCCAAAGAUUGAUUCAUAGAUUGAUUUUGAUGAUCACAAAACCUUGAAGUAUGGAUACUAAUGUUUAUGUUGCAAGGAGAAAGAUAUUUAUUUUGCAAGGAACAUAGCAAGUUGGAAGAACACAAGAAGGCCUCCAAAA
RNAcentral lists this long non-coding RNA (259 nucleotides) under Phoenix dactylifera (date palm). RNAcentral's name for it is "long non-coding RNA (PDAC_LNC022057)". The record is from RNAcentral. Lineage: Eukaryota; Viridiplantae; Streptophyta; Magnoliopsida; Arecales; Arecaceae.